UACGUAGGGGGCAAGCGUUGUCCGGAAUCAUUGGGCGUAAAGAGCGUGUAGGCGGCUCGAUAAGUCCGCUGUGAAAGUCCAGGGCUCAACCCUGGAAGGCCGGUGGAAACUGUCGGGCUAGAGUCCGGAAGAGGCGAGUGGAAUUCCUGGUGUAGCGGUGAAAUGCGUAGAUAUCAGGAGGAACACCGGUGGUGUAAACGGCUCUCUGGACCGUAACUGGACGCUGAAGACGACGAAAGCGUGGGUAGCAAACAGG
Molecule: ribosomal RNA, 256 nt
Filed under: uncultured bacterium
Lineage: Bacteria
Description: partial 16S ribosomal RNA
Rfam family: Bacterial small subunit ribosomal RNA
Source: RNAcentral